RNAcentral lists this non-coding RNA (134 nucleotides) under Bacillus sp. (in: firmicutes). RNAcentral describes it as "Bacillus sp. FMN sequence". It matches the Rfam family "FMN riboswitch aptamer (RFN element)". From Rfam's summary of the family: The RFN element is a highly conserved domain that is found frequently in the 5'-untranslated regions of prokaryotic mRNAs that encode for flavin mononucleotide (FMN) biosynthesis and transport proteins. This element is a metabolite-dependent riboswitch that directly binds FMN in the absence of proteins. In Bacillus subtilis, the riboswitch most likely controls gene expression by causing premature transcription termination within the 5' untranslated region of the ribDEAHT operon and precluding access to the ribosome-binding site of ypaA mRNA. The record is from RNAcentral. Lineage: Bacteria; Bacillati; Bacillota; Bacilli; Caryophanales; Bacillaceae. RNAcentral also lists the same sequence under 1 other name.
GUCUAUCUUCGGGGCUGGGUGUAAUUCCCGACCGGCGGUGAUGAGUUAAUGUUAACUUUAAGUCCGCGAGCCGCAAGGCAGGAUUUGGUGCGAUUCCAAAACCGACAGUAAAGUCUGGAUGGGAGAAGAUGGAG